Amphimedon queenslandica is the source of this 324-nucleotide long non-coding RNA. RefSeq lists it as uncharacterized. The record is from RefSeq and is a predicted model, not a curated record. The transcript is spliced from 3 exons. Lineage: Eukaryota; Metazoa; Porifera; Demospongiae; Haplosclerida; Niphatidae.
ACGGCAAACAAAAUGGCGGCUUACACAUGGGACAAAGCUAAGAGCUUUCUAACAGCAAGAGAGCAUAGAGAUACUGUCUAAAGACUUCUCUAGAAGCAUUAUAAGGUAACAGAGCAACUGGACGUGCUCCUCUUCCUCCUGUCCCACACAAACCAGCCAAACCUUCUUACAAACUGAGCGACUUUCAAUUAAUUAAAGUUUUCGGGAAAGGAAGCUUGGAAAGGUUCUUCUUGCUAAAUUGUCGAAUGGAAACAAGGCAUAUUUUGCCAUUAAAGCAAAUUUCAAUAUCUUAUAUUUAAUUUCAAUAUUAAUUUUUAAUUUUUA